Molecule: ribosomal RNA, 253 nt
Filed under: uncultured bacterium
Lineage: Bacteria
Description: partial 16S ribosomal RNA
Rfam family: Bacterial small subunit ribosomal RNA
Source: RNAcentral
UACGUAGGGGGCAAGCGUUAUCCGGAUUUACUGGGUGUAAAGGGAGCGUAGACGGCAGAGCAAGUCUGAAGUGAAAGCCCGCGGCCCAACUGCGGGACUGCUUUGGAAACUGCCCGGCUAGAGUGCUGGAGAGGUAAGCGGAAUUCCUAGUGUAGCGGUGAAAUGCGUAGAUAUUAGGAGGAACACCAGUGGCGAAGGCGGCUUACUGGACAGCAACUGACGUUGAGGCUCGAAAGCGUGGGGAGCAAACAGG